This 551-nucleotide ribosomal RNA is filed under the name uncultured Actinomycetes bacterium. Its description in RNAcentral is "bacterial SSU rRNA". It matches the Rfam family "Bacterial small subunit ribosomal RNA", at positions 258 to 821 of the family's 1533-position model. The record is from RNAcentral. Lineage: Bacteria; Bacillati; Actinomycetota; Actinomycetes.
UGAUGGCCUACCAAGGCGACGACGGGUAGCCGACCUGAGAGGGUGACCGGCCACACUGGGACUGAGACACGGCCCAGACUCCUACGGGAGGCAGCAGUGGGGAAUAUUGCACAAUGGGCGAAAGCCUGAUGCAGCGACGCCGCGUGGGGGAUGACGGUCUUCGGAUUGUAAACCCCUUUCAGUAGGGACGAAGCGCAAGUGACGGUACCUGCAGAAGAAGCACCGGCUAACUACGUGCCAGCAGCCGCGGUAAUACGUAGGGUGCGAGCGUUGUCCGGAAUUACUGGGCGUAAAGAGUUCGUAGGCGGUUUGUCGCGUCGUUUGUGAAAACCCGGGGCUCAACUUCGGGCUUGCAGGCGAUACGGGCAGACUUGAGUGUUUCAGGGGAGACUGGAAUUCCUGGUGUAGCGGUGAAAUGCGCAGAUAUCAGGAGGAACACCGGUGGCGAAGGCGGGUCUCUGGGAAACAACUGACGCUGAGGAACGAAAGCGUGGGUAGCAAACAGGAUUAGAUACCCUGGUAGUCCAUGCCGUAAACGGUGGGCGCUAGGU